CGGAGAAGGCUAUGUUGGCCGGGCGACGGUUGUCCCGGUUUAAGCGUGUAGGCUGGUUUUCCAGGCAAAUCCGGAAAAUCAAGGCUGAGGCGUGAUGACGAGGCACUACGGUGCUGAAGCAACAAAUGCCCUGCUUCCAGGAAAAGCCUCUAAGCAUCAGGUAACAUCAAAUCGUACCCCAAACCGACACAGGUGGUCAGGUAGAGAAUACCAAGGCGCUUGAGAGAACUCGGGUGAAGGAACUAGGCAAAAUGGUGCCGUAACUUCGGGAGAAGGCACGCUGAUAUGUAGGUGAAGCGACUUGCUCGUGGAGCUGAAAUCAGUCGAAGAUACCAGCUGGCUGCAACUGUUUAUUAAAAACACAGCACUGUGCAAACACGAAAGUGGACGUAUACGGUGUGACGCCUGCCCGGUGCCGGAAGGUUAAUUGAUGGGGUUAGCGGUAACGCGAAGCUCUUGAUCGAAGCCCCGGUAAACGGCGGCCGUAACUAUAACGGUCCUAAGGUAGCGAAAUUCCUUGUCGGGUAAGUUCCGACCUGCACGAAUGGCGUAAUGAUGGCCAGGCUGUCUCCACCCGAGACUCAGUGAAAUUGAACUCGCUGUGAAGAUGCAGUGUACCCGCGGCAAGACGGAAAGACCCCGUGAACCUUUACUAUAGCUUGACACUGAACAUUGAGCCUUGAUGUGUAGGAUAGGUGGGAGGCUUUGAAGUGUGGACGCCAGUCUGCAUGGAGCCGACCUUGAAAUACCACCCUUUAAUGUUUGAUGUUCUAACGUUGGCCCGUAAUCCGGGUUGCGGACAGUGUCUGGUGGGUAGUUUGACUGGGGCGGUCUCCUCCUAAAGAGUAACGGAGGAGCACGAAGGUUGGCUAAUCCUGGUCGGACAUCAGGAGGUUAGUGCAAUGGCAUAAGCCAGCUUGACUGCGAGCGUGACGGCGCGAGCAGGUGCGAAAGCAGGUCAUAGUGAUCCGGUGGUUCUGAAUGGAAGGGCCAUCGCUCAACGGAUAAAAGGUACUCCGGGGAUAACAGGCUGAUACCGCCCAAGAGUUCAUAUCGACGGCGGUGUUUGGCACCUCGAUGUCGGCUCAUCACAUCCUGGGGCUGAAGUAGGUCCCAAGGGUAUGGCUGUUCGCCAUUUAAAGUGGUACGCGAGCUGGGUUUAGAACGUCGUGAGACAGUUCGGUCCCUAUCUGCCGUGGGCGCUGGAGAACUGAGGGGGGCUGCUCCUAGUACGAGAGGACCGGAGUGGACGCAUCACUGGUGUUCGGGUUGUCAUGCCAAUGGCACUGCCCGGUAGCUAAAUGCGGAAGAGAUAAGUGCUGAAAGCAUCUAAGCACGAAACUUGCCCCGAGAUGAGUUCUCCCUGAGACUUUAAGUCUCCUGAAGGAACGUUGAAGACGACGACGUUGAUAGGCCGGGUGUGUAAGCGCAGCGAUGCGUUGAGCUAACCGGUACUAAUGAACCGUGAGGCUUAACCUU
This 1479-nucleotide ribosomal RNA is filed under the name Escherichia coli. RNAcentral's name for it is "partial 23S ribosomal RNA". It matches the Rfam family "Bacterial large subunit ribosomal RNA", at positions 1473 to 2925 of the family's 2925-position model. The record is from RNAcentral. Lineage: Bacteria; Pseudomonadati; Pseudomonadota; Gammaproteobacteria; Enterobacterales; Enterobacteriaceae.